RNAcentral lists this ribosomal RNA (495 nucleotides) under uncultured bacterium. Its description in RNAcentral is "partial 16S ribosomal RNA". It matches the Rfam family "Bacterial small subunit ribosomal RNA", at positions 28 to 508 of the family's 1533-position model. The record is from RNAcentral.
GACGAACGCUGGCGGCGUGCUUAACACAUGCAAGUCGAACGGAAAGGCCUGCUUUCCCUUGUGCUUUGCGGGUACUCGAGUGGCGAACGGGUGAGUAACACGCGAGUGAUCUGCCCCCAACUUGCGUCUAAGCCUGGGAAACUGUGUCUAAUUCCCUAUAGGACUGCAGGGUGGUGCCUGUGGUGGCAAACGUUUUUCUAGUGGUUGGGGAUGAGCUCGCGGCCUAUCAGCUUGUUGGUGGGGUAGUGGCCUACCAAGGCGGCGACGGGUAGCCGGCCUGGGAGGGUGGACGGCCACAUUGGGAAUGAGGUACGGACCAGACUGCUACGGGAGGGAGCGGUAGGGAAUAUUGCACGAUGGGGGGAGGCGUGAUGCAGCGGCGCCGGGUGGGAGAUGACGGGCUUCGGGUUGUAAACUCAUUAGGGAAGAGAGGAAGCCAACUGAUUGGAAGGGUGGUGACGGUAGUGGAAGAAGAAGCACCGGCUAACUACGGGC